AGCGCAGACGGUUGAUUAAGUCUGAUGUGAAGGCCCGGAGCUCAACUCCGGAAUGGCAUUGGAAACUGGUUAACUUGAGUGCAGUAGAGGUAAGUGGAACUCCAUGUGUAGCGGUGGAAUGCGUAGAUAUAUGGAAGAACACCAGUGGCGAAGGCGGCUUACUGGACUGUAACUGACGUUGAGGCUCGAAAGUGUGGGUAGCAAACA
RNAcentral lists this ribosomal RNA (207 nucleotides) under uncultured bacterium. Its description in RNAcentral is "partial 16S ribosomal RNA". It matches the Rfam family "Bacterial small subunit ribosomal RNA", at positions 568 to 774 of the family's 1533-position model. The record is from RNAcentral.